RNAcentral lists this ribosomal RNA (253 nucleotides) under uncultured bacterium. RNAcentral's name for it is "partial 16S ribosomal RNA". It matches the Rfam family "Bacterial small subunit ribosomal RNA", at positions 524 to 776 of the family's 1533-position model. The record is from RNAcentral.
UACGUAGGGUGCGAGCGUUGUCCGGAAUUAUUGGGCGUAAAGAGCUCGUAGGCGGCCUGUCGCGUCGGAUGUGAAAACUCGGGGCUUAACCCCGAGCCUGCAUUCGAUACGGGCAGGCUAGAGUUCGGCAGGGGAGACUGGAAUUCUUGGUGUAGCGGUGAAAUGCGCAGAUAUCAGGAGGAACACCGGUGGCGAAGGCGGCUCUCUGGGCCUUACCUGACGCUGAGGAGCGAAAGCGUGGGGAUCAAACAGG